CAAACAACCCAGGUAAACAAGAGUCAAGUGAUGCUCAGCGUAGAAAAACAUCUAGAGACUUGAAGAAAGAGUUAACUCGAUACCAUUGCCCCUCAACGGUUUACCCAAACUCUGUAUACAAUGAAAGAGUCAUUAAAUAUUUUUAAAAGGUAACAUUAACUGGCAUAUAGACAUACCCAUUAUAAAGAAAAUCUGAUACAAAAAUAAAUAUUUUCUUCCACCCAUUUAUCUCAUCCUAAUUAACACUUCAGAGGGUAUGGGUAAUAAUAAUUCACUUACACACAGGCUGAGCUACUAUGUUUUAUUUCAUAGCCUUUUAAAAAAUAUAAACCACAAAGUAUUUUGAAAAACAGACACGGAAUAAUCAUUUAGCAGCCACAAGAGUACAAAAAUAAAGUAACAGAAUGAACUGCACAACAGAAUCUCUACUAUGACAAGGAACACAUAAUGUUCACUAGGAAAGUCAAGUGACCAGCACCACCACUUUCCCAUCAUCAGUUAUCACUGAAAUCACCACAGGACCUAUUCCCAGAAAACCAUUCUAUUCACACAGAAACACAUACAAAUACAUAUGUUCAAUGUGUAAAUGUCAAGUUAACAUCUGAAUUUAGUUCCAAAAUACCAUUUUUCCCUUUCCUCUGGGAGACAAGUUCGAUGGCAAGGUGGAAUAGUAAAGACCAUGGAAUGUCAAGCAUACAACUUAUUCAACACCCCCCACCCACAUACACACCCAGCAAGGUGUAAAACACAAGAAAGAGAAAGGUU
Molecule: long non-coding RNA, 765 nt
Filed under: Bos taurus (domestic cattle)
Lineage: Eukaryota; Metazoa; Chordata; Mammalia; Artiodactyla; Bovidae
Description: long non-coding RNA NONBTAT021731
Source: RNAcentral